This 406-nucleotide ribosomal RNA is filed under the name uncultured bacterium. Its description in RNAcentral is "partial 16S ribosomal RNA". It matches the Rfam family "Bacterial small subunit ribosomal RNA", at positions 30 to 526 of the family's 1533-position model. The record is from RNAcentral.
AUUGAACGCUGGCGGCCGGCCUAACACAUGCAAGUCGAACGAGUGGCGGACGGGUGAGUAAUGUCUGGGAAACUGCCUGAUGGAGGGGGAUAACUACUGGAAACGGUAGCUAAUACCGCAUACCAUCAGAUGUUCCCAGAUGGGAUUAGCUAGUUGGUUGUGUAACGGCUCACCUAGGCGACGAUCCCUAGCUGGUCUGCGAGGAUGACCAGCCACCCUGGAACUGAGACACGGUCAAGACUCCUACGGGAGGCAGCAUUGGGGAAUAGUGCACAAUGGGCGCAAGCCUGAUGCAGCCAUGCCGCGUGUAUGAAGAAGGCCUUCGGGUUGUAAAGUACUUUCAGCGGGGAGGCGUUACCCGCAGAAGAAGCACCGGCUAACUCCGUGCCAGCAGCCGCGGUAAUAC